This is a long non-coding RNA of Anopheles funestus (African malaria mosquito), 1245 nucleotides long. RefSeq lists it as uncharacterized. The transcript is spliced from 2 exons. NCBI's taxonomy places the organism in Eukaryota, Metazoa, Arthropoda, Insecta, Diptera, Culicidae. The record is from RefSeq and is a predicted model, not a curated record.
UAAACGUCAAUUCAUGGUUUUAGCCUGUUUCAAGAGUCCUCUAAAUCGUUUACGGUCGACCGCCGACAACUUCCAAUUCGAUUUCCCUAGCUUUCUGACGGACGCUUCAACUCCAUCGCUUCAGUUCAAGUAAGUAAAGGAAAGCAAAAAUAUAUAUUUUUUUAGUUUCAAAUUAAAAAUUCGUUAAUAAGCAAUUUGUAUGUAAAAAUUUCUCGUGUCGCGGUGUUAGUGUGCAAACUCCUCCGAAACGGCUGCACCAAUUUGUAUGAAAUGUAUGGGUUCUUUUCUGUUUUUCCUACGGGGGUUAUCAAGUAGGCAUAGCCAUUUUUUCAACACGAAUAAUGUUGAACACUACUGAAACAAACAAGCUCUAACGAAUAAAUCAAUCAAAGUAGGUACACAUGACGAUUUAUUUGUGUAAUUUCAUUCAAUAAAAUGUAAAGUGAGUGAUAAGUAAGUAAAAGCAAGAUAAGUGUGGAAAUAAUUAUAAAAUGUAAAAAUUAAAAAUGUGUAGUGAUGGUCCUCCGCAUCAUGAACAUGGUGCAAUAAGUCCUUCGUUUUGAUACGUACAUACACGAAGCCCAAGCGGCUCAGGAGUUGCUCGCAGUUUUAAUUACUGUUCACUGUCUCAUGUAAUUUUUUUUCCCUUAAAGGUACAUUCGGCGAUACAUGAACUAGCCCAGAAUGCUUUUGGUGAUAGUUUAAAAAUACUUCAUACAUCGGAUCAACAAUUGAUGCUUCUUUUCAGCGAAUGCAUGCGUUGGUCAUCGUGGGAAGGGUUCUGAACAUGGUAUAUUCGGCAAUACAUGAACUAGCCCAGAAUGCUUUUGGUGAUAGUUUAAAAAUACUUCACACAUCGGUUCAACAAUUGAUGCUUCUUUUCAGCGAAUGCAUGCGUUGGUCAUCGUGGGAAGGGUUCUGAACAUGGUGCAAUAAGUCCUUCGUUUUGGUACGUACAAGAAGCCAAGCGACUCAGGAGUUGCUCGCAGUUUUAAUUACUGUUCACUAGCUCAUGUAAUUUUUUUUCCCUUAAAGGUACAUUCGGCGAUACAUGAACUAGCCCAGUUUUUUUCGUUUCGCUAGGUGGCCUCUGGCCAAUAUUAUGAGUUCGUUUCUGUUUUUCCUACGGGAGUUAUCAAGUAGGCAUAGCCAUUUUUUCAACACGAAACAACAACAUAAUGUUGAACACUACUGAAACAAACAAGCUCUAACGAAUAAAUCAAUCAAAGUAGUCGUGUCACGUGA